RNAcentral lists this ribosomal RNA (451 nucleotides) under Escherichia coli. Its description in RNAcentral is "bacterial SSU rRNA". It matches the Rfam family "Bacterial small subunit ribosomal RNA", at positions 338 to 804 of the family's 1533-position model. Lineage: Bacteria; Pseudomonadati; Pseudomonadota; Gammaproteobacteria; Enterobacterales; Enterobacteriaceae. The record is from RNAcentral.
CCUACGGGUGGCUGCAGUGGGGAAUAUUGGGCAAUGGGCGCAAGCCUGACCCAGCAACGCCGCGUGAAGGAAGAAGGCUUUCGGGUUGUAAACUUCUUUUGACAGGGAAGAGCAGAAGACGGUACCUGUCGAAUAAGCCACGGCUAACUACGUGCCAGCAGCCGCGGUAAUACGUAGGUGGCAAGCGUUGUCCGGAUUUACUGGGUGUAAAGGGCGUGUAGCCGGGCUGACAAGUCAGAUGUGAAAUCCGGGGGCUCAACCCCCGAACUGCAUUUGAAACUGUUGGUCUUGAGUAUCGGAGAGGCAGGCGGAAUUCCUAGUGUAGCGGUGAAAUGCGUAGAUAUUAGGAGGAACACCAGUGGCGAAGGCGGCCUGCUGGACGACAACUGACGGUGAGGCGCGAAAGCGUGGGGAGCAAACAGGAUUAGAUACCCUAGUAGUCCAUGACGUA